RNAcentral lists this ribosomal RNA (235 nucleotides) under uncultured bacterium. RNAcentral's name for it is "partial 16S ribosomal RNA". It matches the Rfam family "Bacterial small subunit ribosomal RNA", at positions 118 to 352 of the family's 1533-position model. The record is from RNAcentral.
UGAGCAAUCUGCCCUUCUCUUCGGAAUAAGCGUUGGAAACGACGUCUAAUGCCGAAUACGACCUCCUUUCGCAUGAUCGGAGGUGGAAAGCUCCGGCGGAGAAGGAUGAGCUCGCGGCCUAUCAGCUAGUUGGUGUGGGUAAUGGCCCACCAAGGCGACGACGGGUAGCCGGCCUGAGAGGGUGACCGGCCACACUGGGACUGAGACACGGCCCAGACUCCGUACGGGAGGNGGC